RNAcentral lists this ribosomal RNA (381 nucleotides) under uncultured bacterium. Its description in RNAcentral is "bacterial SSU rRNA". It matches the Rfam family "Bacterial small subunit ribosomal RNA", at positions 28 to 404 of the family's 1533-position model. The record is from RNAcentral.
GACGAACGCUGGCGGCGUGCUUAACACAUGCAAGUCGAACGGUGACGAAUGGAGCUUGCUCUGUUCUGAUCAGUGGCGAACGGGUGAGUAACACGUGAGUAACCUGCCCCUGACUCUGGAAUAACUUCGGGAAACCGAAGCUAAUACCGGAUAAUGACACAGAAGCCGCAUGGUUUCUGUGUGGAAAGUUUUUCGUUGGGGAUGGACUCGCGGCCUAUCAGCUUGUUGGUGAGGUAAUGGCUCACCAAAGGCGACGACGGGGUAGCCGGCCUGAGAGGGCGACCGGCCACACUGGGACUGAGACAGGCCCAGACUCCUACGGGAGCCAGCAGUGGGAAUAUUGCACAAUGGGCGAAAGCCUGAUGCAGCGACGCCGCGUGA